UAGGGAAUCUUCCACAAUGGACGCAAGUCUGAUGGAGCAACGCCGCGUGAGUGAAGAAGGUUUUCGGAUCGUAAAGCUCUGUUGUUGGUGAAGAAGGAUAGAGGCAGUAACUGGUCUUUAUUUGACGGUAAUCAACCAGAAAGUCACGGCUAACUACGUGCCAGCAGCCGCGGUAAUACGAAGGUGGCAAGCGUUGUCCGGAUUUAUUGGGCGUAAAGCGAGCGCAGGCGGAAUGCUAAGUCUGAUGUGAAAGCCCACGGCUCAACCGUGGAACUGCAUCGGAAACUGUCAUUCUUGAGUGCAGAAGAGGAGAGUGGAAUUCCAGGUGUAGCGGUGGAAUGCGUAGAUAUAUGGAAGAACACCAGUGGCGAAGGCGGCUCUCUGGUCUGCAACUGACGCUGAGGCUCGAAAGCGUGGGUAGCGAACAGG
RNAcentral lists this ribosomal RNA (429 nucleotides) under bacterium. RNAcentral describes it as "partial 16S ribosomal RNA". It matches the Rfam family "Bacterial small subunit ribosomal RNA", at positions 355 to 776 of the family's 1533-position model. The record is from RNAcentral.